AUACGGAGGGUGCAAGCGUUAUUCGGAAUCACUGGGCGUAAAGGACGCGUAGGCGGGUUGGCAAGUCAGAUGUGAAAUCCUACAGCUUAACUGUAGAACUGCAUUUGAAACUGCUAACCUAGAGUAUGGGAGGGGGAGAUGGAAUUAGUGGUGUAGGGGUAAAAUCCGUAGAUAUCACUAGGAAUACCGAAAGCGAAGGCGAUCUCCUGGAACAUUACUGACGCUAAGGCGUGAAAGCGUGGGGAGCAAACGGAAUUAGAAACCCCAGUAGUCC
Molecule: ribosomal RNA, 274 nt
Filed under: uncultured bacterium
Lineage: Bacteria
Description: partial 16S ribosomal RNA
Rfam family: Bacterial small subunit ribosomal RNA
Source: RNAcentral